Molecule: long non-coding RNA, 228 nt
Filed under: Sorghum bicolor (sorghum)
Lineage: Eukaryota; Viridiplantae; Streptophyta; Magnoliopsida; Poales; Poaceae
Description: long non-coding RNA (SBIC_LNC009260)
Source: RNAcentral
GAAACUGAAACUUGUGUGGUUUUCUGGGAUGCUUGUGUGAAGAAGAUGGAGGUAGAAGGUGGCUAUUUAUAGGAGGAAGGAAGGGCAGGGCGGGCGCCCUUGGUAGGUGGGUGGGCGCCCACUUGUGGUGCUCAUCCUGGCUGCCCUUUCUCCACUCCCUCCCUUGCUUAAUUCUUACGCAAAAUAAUAGAUCAAUGGUGGUGGUUAGUCGGUGGAAAAGUGCUGGUG